UUGCCUCAGCAACUGUGCUAACUGCAUUUGCUUUGCGUCAGCAUUCGUUGUAAGCAACGCAUCGCUGCGCGGUGUUUGCAAAGAAUGCAAACACAAAGCAGAUGCAGUUAGCACAGUUGCUGAGGCAAC
RNAcentral lists this microRNA precursor (129 nucleotides) under Phlebotomus papatasi. Its description in RNAcentral is "microRNA mir-317". Lineage: Eukaryota; Metazoa; Arthropoda; Insecta; Diptera; Psychodidae. The record is from RNAcentral.